Molecule: transfer RNA, 64 nt
Filed under: Physemacris variolosa
Lineage: Eukaryota; Metazoa; Arthropoda; Insecta; Orthoptera; Pneumoridae
Description: tRNA-Cys
Source: RNAcentral
GAUUUUAUAUUCAAUAAUGAUUUCAGAUUGCAAUUCUGAGGGUGUAUUUAAUUUACUAAGGUCU